This is a non-coding RNA of Aegilops tauschii subsp. strangulata, 2159 nucleotides long. Lineage: Eukaryota; Viridiplantae; Streptophyta; Magnoliopsida; Poales; Poaceae. The record is from RefSeq and is a predicted model, not a curated record.
GCACCCUACCCCACGCACGCACCCAAAAAAGCCAUCACGCACAAAACACCGCUCCUCUCGAUCCCCUGAUGCGAUCUUCCUGGCACCGUCGCCUUCGCGGAUCCGCCGCCACAACCAUCGCCUCGUUCCCGUGAGCCGCCGUCGCUCCCUCUCCCAGCGUCGCCUCCGCCGCCAUGGCCCCUCCCCUUGCGCCCCGAACUGCCUCGCGCACUCGUCGCCCGUUCUACCACAGAGGAGGCGAAGACAGCGGCAGCGCGCCGCCCUACUUCGCCGGUCGCCGCCUCGGCUGCACUCGGCGGGCGCCACACGCCGUCUCCUCUCCAUGGGAGUGGCGGAUGCCAACGAGGAAAGUGGAUCGACCUGGCCAUGGGGAUGGCACUACGACCCCUGCCAGCCUCCCGCGUCGCCGUGCCUCCCUGCAUCGUCGCCUCCGACCUCACCACGUAGCUCCUGUGACGAGUAAUGGGGAUGGAAAUAUAUCAACAAUGGGGUGUGGUUCGUUCCUGUCAGGUUUUUUUCUUUGACGCUGCCGCUCCUGGAGCACCAACUCAAAAUUUUCUCAUAUACUGGUGUUGCCCGAGCACGAGCACAAGGCGACAUUUUUGCUGGCCAUCUUGUUCAACACCUACUGGGGAGGCGGAGGAGGCCGGCAACAGGAGAAGGCGCAUGCCAGCGAGGAGGGCGAGCAGAAGGGUGCAGUGGAGGACGAUCAGGGGGAGACGUGAGCGCUCAGGCCUAGGUUUGUGUUGUUCUCGACUUGAGUAUAUGGGGCUCGAAUUGUGAUGGAUAUGAGGUGAGGAAAGAAGGUUUGGUAUGCAAUUAUGGUGUACACUAGAGAAACAUGUGUUUUUUUCCUAUGAAGACAUCUGCCCCUGCAAACCUCCACGUGCCGCCGAUGAGUUCGUCGUUGCCGAUGGGAUCGCCGCAAGGUGAGUUGAAUCAACCUAGCACACAACGCCGUGAUUAGGAGAUGGGAUCAUCUGAGUCAUGCGUCCCUUUAGCCUCCUCCCCUCCAACGUCCAUGGCUCUGUGAUGAAAUCAAGGUUGACUGAUGUUUGAUGGAAAAUAGAAUGGGCUUCCAUAUGAUGGAUGUACAUGGGGGAAAUAAGUCUGAUAUCUUGGUGUUUCAAUCUCAGAUUGAAUUCUUCAACAAGAUUUAGUCCAGGAGCAAGUCUACUGAGAAGAGCAAGGGUGUCGAUCAUGAUUUUUUGUUUUAGUUGACUGUAGGUUUCAUGUGGUAUGUCUCCAGGUUCGUUAUUUGAAUUUGUUUUUUUGUUAACUUCUGACGCUAUAGAUUUUAUAUCAGUAAAAGUGUCAUCCUUGGUGACAAGAUGGGACUAUAUUAGAGCUAUUAUUAGUGUAUAUGCUAGAUUGGAUCAAAUGUAGACAUAAAAAUGCAUCAAAACUGCAAGCCCACAUCUGAUUCAACACACUUCCACUGUACUGUUUGCGUGCAUCCUGCUGCAUCCUCUCGGACCAUAAUAGAGUAGUAUUAUUGUUUUUAUCAUUUAAUUGUUUAUUUAUCCUGAAAGUUGAAAGCGGGUUAAUUCUUUUUUUAGGCUGUUGACAUCCAUUAUGUGGCGUAGGUGUUGCAUCGCGCAUACAACUUAAUCCCACACCACUUUUAGCAAUGGCUCGUAAUGUGGCAUCUCUUCCACUAUCAAUGCCCUUUACCAUAACUUCUGCUCGUUGCAAACCUACUGUGCGAAUAGCAUAUACUGUUGUUCUUUUGAUCAACAUAGGGUGAUGCUUGGUAGUUACCCCUCUCUCAGCCUUGCAAAGUUUGGGUGUGUGAGUUUAUAACUUGGACACCUCACAGAAUGUUGGUUCGAAUAUUCCAAAUUGAUCAUGUAUAUAUCCCUAGCAGAUCUAAGCUGUCACUACUCUUUUUGGUUGUCAGGAGAUGUGUUUUUUAUCCCAGCUUCUAAUGAUGAAAAGAAGUAGUCAAGAAUAAAAUUUGAUGUCCUUUGGCACCUUACAAGAUGAUAAAGAUCAACACUGAUGUUCUGAUGUUUUGAUAACUGCAAAAUAGGAAUGCAUGGUACUUACGUAACCACAUCUGUUUCUGAAGGAAAUAUGCCCUAGAGGCAAUAAUAAAGUUAUUAUUUAUUUCCUUAUUUCAUGAUAAAUGUUUAUUAUUCAUGCUAGAAUUGUAUUAA